This 97-nucleotide transfer RNA is filed under the name Pseudomonas fluorescens. Its description in RNAcentral is "tRNA-Ala". The record is from RNAcentral. Lineage: Bacteria; Pseudomonadati; Pseudomonadota; Gammaproteobacteria; Pseudomonadales; Pseudomonadaceae. RNAcentral also lists the same sequence under 1 other name.
GGCGGUGCUUGGCGGGCGGUUGAUGGCGACGCCGGGGCUGGCGUUCCUGGUGGGGUAUCAGGCGGCCUUGCGCAUGCUCUGGCCGAGCGCGCCACUG